RNAcentral lists this ribosomal RNA (253 nucleotides) under uncultured bacterium. RNAcentral describes it as "partial 16S ribosomal RNA". It matches the Rfam family "Bacterial small subunit ribosomal RNA", at positions 524 to 776 of the family's 1533-position model. The record is from RNAcentral.
UACGGAGGGGGCUAGCGUUGUUCGGAAUUACUGGGCGUAAAGCGCGCGUAGGCGGCUUUGUAAGUUAGAGGUGAAAGCCCGGAGCUCAACUCCGGAACUGCCUUUAAAACUGCAUCGCUUGAAUCCAGGAGAGGUGAGUGGAAUUCCGAGUGUAGAGGUGAAAUUCGUAGAUAUUCGGAAGAACACCAGUGGCGAAGGCGGCUGCCUGGGCCUGGCCUGACGCUGAGGCGCGAAAGCGUGGGGAGCAAUCCGG